UUAUAAACAUUUAUUAUAAUUAUUUUUUUGUGUCAUAUAUGCGAUGUGAUGAUUAGAUUUUAAUAUGAUCAAAACAAAAUAAAGUGCAGAUAUAGUGGAAAAUAACGCAUAAAGUGUUAUUUGGAACAUAUGAUGUGCAAGCGCGAUUCGAAUGACACCUAAGAUCCACGUCUGAUGACAAACGUGAACAGGAUCAGGGUGGUCGUCCUCGGCGGCCCCAGAGUUGGAAAAUCAGCCGUGGUAGUACGCUAUUUAACGAGGCGAUACAUUGGCGAAUACAGCUCAACCAGUGAUUUCCUAUACCGGCACAGCGUUACCAUCGAUAAUGUUAGUACCGAAGUCGAGAUACUGGACACUUCCAGGUGCGAGGAAAAUGGUUGUCUAUAUUCCCAUAUAAGAUGGGGCGAGGCUUUCGUAAUCGUUUACAGUGUAACAUGCAAACGAAGUUUUCAGGAAGCCCGUGGAUUGUUAAAGCAACUGGCUGAUUUACGUCUGCCAUCCUACUUCACUGCUCUGUUGCUCGGCAAUAAGAGAGAUCUGGAUCAUGCUCGAGAGGUAUGCGUGGAUGAGGGCCAGCAACUGUCCUUGGCUCAUGGAUGUCAAUUUUACGAGGUUAGUGCGGCGGAAAGUCCUGCGGGGGCAGCACUGGCAUUCCAAGCGCUGCUCCGUGAAGCAAGAUCGGUUCAAUUGCUCCGAGCACUUCCUAUCCGCCGGAAAUUGGGCGUCCACUCGGUCUCGAGGGUGCUCGGCACGAUCUUUGGCAAGAAUACGACGAAGGACCGCAAAAAGAGGCCCUCGUUAAGCAUAUGACGCCUUCUUUGCGCCCUCCUCCUUGGAGGUCGUGACGAACCUGAUAGAAGAACCGAUGUGAUCGUUCUUACCAGCAACGUCUAUUCAAACCGUUGAUGACGACAUAGAAAACGAUCAUCUGACCAACGUGGAUCAAGUCGCCAAUCUUCCGCCUUUUGAUGUCUUCUGAAAAAAAAGUUCCUGGCGUUUUGAUUCAGUUUCAAGACUGAUAUAGAGAAACAUUAGGACGUUAUCUGGCGGACAGAUCUACCACAACAUCAUAAUUUUGUUGACUGUUCGUCAUUGGGUGAAGAGAGAGAGAGGGUGCAGGAGAUGCAUAUCUGGCGAACACCAGCUCCGUUUCACGCGGCUUGUAAGAAUAUUUCGGGAGUUCGAUCGGAAAACGAGAGAAUUAUCUGUUGGAGAGUAUUUAUCUAGCGUUUCACUCGAAAUUCUCAGGACAUUUUUAUUUAAUAUCUGUGAAGGAAAAAUAUCCAUGAGAAAAUCUCGUGAAAGACUGUCACGAGCGUGAAAAAGGCGACAAAUGACUUUAUAAAAUCGGACCAAGAACCUAGUAUUUUGUCUCUGUCGUAUUUCAUGUUCUUAUUGUUUCUUUUUCUUUUUUUCUCUCUAUUUUUUUCACUCUUUUACUUUUUCUACAUUUUUUUCAUUCUUAGAGUGAUUAAAUCAAGUAUCUUCUUCGAGGAAUAGAGCCUCGAGUGUCAGUUUUGUCGGAUCUCAACGGUUCGAGAAUACCGUACUGCAUGUGUGACUGCUGUUCCUGAACGUAGCUUUAA
RNA transcript from Apis laboriosa (Himalayan honeybee), 1586 nucleotides. It is a transcript of the gene named ras-related and estrogen-regulated growth inhibitor-like, with no coding region annotated. The transcript has 6 exons. NCBI's taxonomy places the organism in Eukaryota, Metazoa, Arthropoda, Insecta, Hymenoptera, Apidae. The record is from RefSeq and is a predicted model, not a curated record.